CUGAAUAGGGCGCAUAAGUAACAGGUCGUAGACCCGAAACCAGGUGAUCUACCCAUGUCCAGGAUGAAGGUAAGGUAAUACUUACUGGAGGUCCGAACCCACGCACGUUGAAAAGUGCGGGGAUGAGGUGUGGGUAGCGGAGAAAUUCCAAUCGAACUUGGAGAUAGCUGGUUCUCUCCGAAAUAGCUUUAGGGCUAGCCUCGAGGUAAAGAGUCAUGGAGGUAGAGCACUGUUUGGACUAGGGGCCCUUCUCGGGUUACCGAAUUCAGAUAAACUCCGAAUGCCAUGUACUUAUACUCGGGAGUCAGACUGCGAGUGAUAAGAUCCGUAGUCGAAAGGGAAACAGCCCAGACCACCAGUUAAGGUCCCCAAAUAUAUGUUAAGUGGAAAAGGAUGUGGGGUUGCUUAGACAACCAGGAUGUUGGCUUAGAAGCAGCCACCAUUGAAAGAGUGCGUAAUAGCUCACUGGUCGAGUGACCCCGCGCCGAAAAUGUACCGGGGCUAAACAUAUUACCGAAACUGUGGAUGAACCUCUUUAGAGGUUCGUGGUAGGAGAGCGUUCUAAGGGCGGUGAAGUCAGACCGGAAGGACUGGUGGAGCGCUUAGAAGUGAGAAUGCCGGUAUGAGUAGCGAAAGAAGGGUGAGAAUCCCUUCCACCGAAUAUCUAAGGUUUCCUGAGGAAGGCUCGUCCGCUCAGGGUUAGUCGGGACCUAAGCCGAGGCCGAUAGGCGUAGGCGAUGGACAACAGGUAGAGAUUCCUGUACCAGUGCUAAUUGUUUAACCGAUGGGGUGACACAGAAGGAUAGGGAAUCGCACGAAUGGAAAUGUGCGUCCAAGCAGUGAGUGUGAGAAGUAGGCAAAUCCGCUUCUCGCGAAGCAUGAGCUGUGAUGGGGAAGGAAAUUAAGUACGGAAGUUCCUGAUUUCACGCUGUCAAGAAAAGCCUCUAGGAAGAGUAGUACUGCCCGUACCGCAAACCGACACAGGUAGAUGAGGAGAGAAUCCUAAGGUGAGCGAGAGAACUCUCGUUAAGGAACUCGGCAAAAUGACCCCGUAACUUCGGGAGAAGGGGUGCUCUAUUAGGGUGCAAGCCCGAGAGAGCCGCAGUGAAUAGGCCCAGGCGACUGUUUAGCAAAAACACAGGUCUCUGCAAAACCGUAAGGUGACGUAUAGGGGCUGACGCCUGCCCGGUGCUGGAAGGUUAAGAGGAGUGCUUAGCUUCGGCGAAGGUACGAAUUGAAGCCCCAGUAAACGGCGGCCGUAACUAUAACGGUCCUAAGGUAGCGAAAUUCCUUGUCGGGUAAGUUCCGACCCGCACGAAAGGCGCAACGAUCUGGGCACUGUCUCAACGAGAGACUCGGUGAAAUUAUAGUACCUGUGAAGAUGCAGGUUACCCGCGACAGGACGGAAAGACCCCGUGGAGCUUUACUGCAACCUGAUAUGGAAUGUUUGUACCGC
Molecule: ribosomal RNA, 1456 nt
Filed under: Listeria monocytogenes
Lineage: Bacteria; Bacillati; Bacillota; Bacilli; Caryophanales; Listeriaceae
Description: partial 23S ribosomal RNA
Rfam family: Bacterial large subunit ribosomal RNA
Source: RNAcentral